RNAcentral lists this ribosomal RNA (471 nucleotides) under Salmonella enterica subsp. enterica serovar Senftenberg. RNAcentral describes it as "bacterial SSU rRNA". It matches the Rfam family "Bacterial small subunit ribosomal RNA", at positions 1 to 468 of the family's 1533-position model. The record is from RNAcentral. RNAcentral also lists the same sequence under 6 other names. Lineage: Bacteria; Pseudomonadati; Pseudomonadota; Gammaproteobacteria; Enterobacterales; Enterobacteriaceae.
AAAUUGAAGAGUUUGAUCAUGGCUCAGAUUGAACGCUGGCGGCAGGCCUAACACAUGCAAGUCGAACGGUAACAGGAAGCAGCUUGCUGCUUCGCUGACGAGUGGCGGACGGGUGAGUAAUGUCUGGGAAACUGCCUGAUGGAGGGGGAUAACUACUGGAAACGGUGGCUAAUACCGCAUAACGUCGCAAGACCAAAGAGGGGGACCUUCGGGCCUCUUGCCAUCAGAUGUGCCCAGAUGGGAUUAGCUGGUUGGUGAGGUAACGGCUCACCAAGGCGACGAUCCCUAGCUGGUCUGAGAGGAUGACCAGCCACACUGGAACUGAGACACGGUCCAGACUCCUACGGGAGGCAGCAGUGGGGAAUAUUGCACAAUGGGCGCAAGCCUGAUGCAGCCAUGCCGCGUGUAUGAAGAAGGCCUUCGGGUUGUAAAGUACUUUCAGCGGGGAGGAAGGUGUUGUGGUUAAUAACC